Long non-coding RNA from Oncorhynchus tshawytscha (Chinook salmon), 1541 nucleotides. RefSeq lists it as uncharacterized. The record is from RefSeq and is a predicted model, not a curated record. NCBI's taxonomy places the organism in Eukaryota, Metazoa, Chordata, Actinopteri, Salmoniformes, Salmonidae. The transcript has 3 exons.
CGCAGUACAAUGACGUGCUUACCUACAGGUUCUCUAUCCACGAUGCCACGUGAUACGCAGUACAAUGACGUGCUUACCUACAGGUUCUCUAUCCACGAUGCCACGUGAUACGCAGUACAAUGACGUGCUUACCUACAGGUUCUCUAUCCACGAUGCCACGUGAUACGCAGUACAAUGACGUGCUUACCUACAGGUUCUCUAUCCACGAUGCCACGUGAUACGCAGUACAAUGACGUGCUUACCUACAGGUUCUCUAUCCACGAUGCCACGUGAUACGCAGUACAAUGACGUGCUUACCUACAGGUUCUCUAUCCACGAUGCCACGUGAUACGCAGUACAAUGACGUGCUUACCUACAGGUUCUCUAUCCACGAUGCCACGUGAUACGCAGUACAAUGACGUGCUUACCUACAGGUUCUCUAUCCACGAUGCCACGUGAUACGCAGUACAAUGACGUGCUUACCUACAGGUUCUCUAUCCACGAUGCCACGUGAUACGCAGUACAAUGACGUGCUUACCUACAGGUUCUCUAUCCACGAUGCCACGUGAUACGCAGUACAAUGACGUGCUUACCUACAGGUUCUCUAUCCACGAUGCCACGUGAUACGCAGUACAAUGACGUGCUUACCUACAGGUUCUCUAUCCACGAUGCCACGUGAUACGCAGUACAAUGACGUGCUUACCUACAGGUUCUCUAUCCACGAUGCCACGUGAUACGCAGUACAAUGACGUGCUUACCUACAGGUUCUCUAUCCACGAUGCCACGUGAUACGCAGUACAAUGACGUGCUUACCUACAGGUUCUCUAUCCACGAUGCCACGUGAUACGCAGUACAAUGACGUGCUUACCUACAGGUUCUCUAUCCACGAUGCCACGUGAUACGCAGUACAAUGACGUGCUUACCUACAGGUUCUCUAUCCACGAUGCCACGUGAUACGCAGUACAAUGACGUGCUUACCUACAGGUUCUCUAUCCACGAUGCCACGUGAUACGCAGUACAAUGACGUGCUUACCUACAGGUUCUCUAUCCACGAUGCCACGUGAUACGCAGUACAAUGACGUGCUUACCUACAGGUUCUCUAUCCACGAUGCCACGUGAUACGCAGUACAAUGACGUGCUUACCUACAGGUUCUCUAUCCACGAUGCCACGUGAUACGCAGUACAAUGACGUGCUUACCUACAGGUUCUCUAUCCACGAUGCCACGUGAUACGCAGUACAAUGACGUGCUUACCUACAGGUUCUCUAUCCACGAUGCCACGUGAUACGCAGUACAAUGACGUGCUUACCUACAGGUUCUCUAUCCACGAUGCCACGUGAUACGCAGUACAAUGACGUGCUUACCUACAGGUUCUCUAUCCACGAUGCCACGUGAUACGCAGUACAAUGACGUGCUUACCUACAGGUUCUCUAUCCACGAUGCCACGUGAUACGCAGUACAAUGACGUGCUUACCUACAGGUUCUCUAUCCACGAUGCCACGUGAUACGCAGUACAAUGACGUGCUUACCUACAGGUUCUCUAUCCACGAUGCCACGUGAUAC